RNAcentral lists this ribosomal RNA (407 nucleotides) under uncultured bacterium. Its description in RNAcentral is "partial 16S ribosomal RNA". It matches the Rfam family "Bacterial small subunit ribosomal RNA", at positions 30 to 526 of the family's 1533-position model. The record is from RNAcentral.
AUUGAACGCUGGCGGCAGGCCUAACACAUGCAAGUCGAUCGGAGCGGCGGACGGGUGAGUAAUGCCUAGGAAUCUGCCUGGUAGUGGGGGAUAACGUCCGGAAACGGGCGCUAAUACCGCAUACUAUCAGAUGAGCCUAGGUCGGAUUAGCGAGUUGGUGGGGUAAAGGCCUACCAAGGCGACGAUCCGUGACUGGUCUGAGAGGAUGAUCAGUCACACUGGAACUGAGACACGGUCCAGACUCCUACGGGAGGCAGCAGUGGGGAAUAUUGGACAAUGGGCGAAAGCCUGAUCCGGACAUGGCGCAUGUGUGAAGAAGGUCUUCGGAUUGUAAAGCACUUUAAGUUGGGAGGCGUUACCAGCAGAAUAAGCACCGGCUAACUUCGUGCCAGCAGCCGCGGUAAUAC